GGCGAACGGGUGAGUAACACGUAGUAACCUACCCUGGAGUCUGGGAUAACCUGCUGAAAGGCGGGCUAAUACCAGAUAAGACCACGGGGGCCACGGCCCUGGGGUAAAAGAUGGCCUAUGCUUGCAAGCUAUCACUCCGGGAUGGGCCUGCGCGCCAUUAGCUAGUUGGUGAGGUAACGGCUCACCAAGGCCGAGAUGGCUAGCUGGUCUGAGAGGAUGGCCAGCCACACUGGGACUGAGACACGGCCAGACUCCUACGGGAGGCAGCAGUGGGGAAUAUUGCGCAAUGGGCGAAAGCCUGACGCAGCGACGCCGCGUGGGUGAUGAAGGCCUUCGGGUCGUAAAGCCCUGUCAAGAGGGACGAAACCUCGUCGACCUAAUACGUCGGCGACCUGACGGUACCUCUGAAGGAAGCACCGGCUAACUCCGUGCCAGCAGCCGCGG
This 444-nucleotide ribosomal RNA is filed under the name uncultured bacterium. Its description in RNAcentral is "bacterial SSU rRNA". It matches the Rfam family "Bacterial small subunit ribosomal RNA", at positions 97 to 520 of the family's 1533-position model. The record is from RNAcentral.